This 472-nucleotide ribosomal RNA is filed under the name uncultured bacterium. RNAcentral's name for it is "partial 16S ribosomal RNA". It matches the Rfam family "Bacterial small subunit ribosomal RNA", at positions 28 to 507 of the family's 1533-position model. The record is from RNAcentral.
GACGAACGCUGGCGGCGUGCUUAACACAUGCAAGUCGAACGCUGAAGCUUGGUGCUUGCACUGGGUGGAUGAGUGGCGAACGGGUGAGUAAUACGUGAGUAACCUGCCCUUGACUCUGGGAUAAGCCUGGGAAACUGGGUCUAAUACUGGAUACGACAUGUCACCGCAUGGUGGCGUGUGGAAAGGGUUUUACUGGUUUUGGAUGGGCUCACGGCCUAUCAGCUUGUUGGUGGGGUAAUGGCUCACCAAGGCGACGACGGGUAGCCGGCCUGAGAGGGUGACCGGCCACACUGGGACUGAGACACGGCCCAGACUCCUACGGGAGGCAGCAGUGGGGAAUAUUGCACAAUGGGCGGAAGCCUGAUGCAGCGACGCCGCGUGAGGGAUGACGGCCUUCGGGUUGUAAACCUCUUUCAGCACGGAAGAAGCGAAAGUGACGGUACGUGCAGAAGAAGCGCCGGCUAACUACGUG